UACGUAGGGUGCAAGCGUUAUCCGGAAUUAUUGGGCGUAAAGGGCGUGUAGGCGGUACCAUAAGUCAGAUGUGAAAGCCCUAGGCUUAACCUAGGAGGUGCAUUUGAUACUGUGGAACUAGAGAUCGAGAGAGGUAAGUGGAAUUACGAGUGUAGAGGUGAAAUUCGUAGAUAUUCGUAAGAACACCAGUGGCGAAGGCGACUUACUGGCUCGAUACUGACGCUAAGGCGCGAAAGCGUGGGGAGCAAACAGG
RNAcentral lists this ribosomal RNA (253 nucleotides) under uncultured bacterium. RNAcentral describes it as "partial 16S ribosomal RNA". It matches the Rfam family "Bacterial small subunit ribosomal RNA", at positions 524 to 776 of the family's 1533-position model. The record is from RNAcentral.